CAGCGCCGCGGUAAUACGAAGGGUGCAAGCGUUAAUCGGAAUUACUGGGCGUAAAGCGUGCGUAGGCGGUGAGUUAAGUCUGCUGUGAAAUCCCCGGGCUCAACCUGGGAAUGGCAGUGGAUACUGGCUCGCUAGAGUGUGUCAGAGGAUGGUGGAAUUCCCGGUGUUGCGGUGAAAUGCGUAGAGAUCGGGAGGAACAUCAGUGGCGAAGGCGGCCAUCUGGGACAACACUGACGCUGAGGCACGAAAGCGUGGGGAGCAAACAGGAUUAGAUACCCCUGUAGUCCCUGUCUCUUAUACA
RNAcentral lists this ribosomal RNA (301 nucleotides) under uncultured bacterium. Its description in RNAcentral is "partial 16S ribosomal RNA". It matches the Rfam family "Bacterial small subunit ribosomal RNA", at positions 509 to 808 of the family's 1533-position model. The record is from RNAcentral.